GACCAACCCUAGCGCCGCGUCUAAUACACGCUAGGCGAACGAACCGCGACUAAAUGCUUGCAAUAAGUCAAGGUGAGUGUCGAACGGGUGAGUAACACGUGGGGAACAUACCUCAUAUUUGCGGAUAACAGUCGGAAACGACUGCUAAUACCGCAUAGGACAUAGCAUCACAUGAUCCAGUGAGGAAAGGUGGCGCAAGCUAUCGCUAAGAGAUGGACCCGCGGUGCAUUACCUAGGUGGUAGGGUAAAGGCCUACCAAGGCGAUGAUGCAUAGCCGACCUGCGAGGGUGAUCGGCCACAUUGGGACUGAGACACGGCCCAAACUCCUACGGGAUGCAUCAGUAGGGAAUCUUCCGCAAUGGAAGCAAGACUGACGGAGCAACGCCGCGUGAGUGCAGAAGGGCUUAGGAUCGUAAAGCUUUGUUGUUAGAGAAGAACAGCGCAUAGAGUAACUGCUAUGCGUGUGACGGCAUCUACCCAGAAAGCAACGGCUAACUACGUG
Molecule: ribosomal RNA, 502 nt
Filed under: uncultured bacterium
Lineage: Bacteria
Description: partial 16S ribosomal RNA
Rfam family: Bacterial small subunit ribosomal RNA
Source: RNAcentral